This is a long non-coding RNA of Aethalodelphis obliquidens (Pacific white-sided dolphin), 1227 nucleotides long. RefSeq lists it as uncharacterized. The transcript is spliced from 2 exons. The record is from RefSeq and is a predicted model, not a curated record. Lineage: Eukaryota; Metazoa; Chordata; Mammalia; Artiodactyla; Delphinidae.
CCAGCCCUUUCCCACUUAUUGUUGUUCCUUUUAUUCAUAUGAAGCUACAGAGAGUCCCGGCUGGAGAGGUGGGUGUGGGAACCGACCUAUCAACAUCAGUCAGCCCCGUGAGGAUGGGCGUGUGGACUGAGGCAUCCAUUCUUCAUCACGCGUUAUCUAAGGUGAAUAUCCUCUAAGGCAUCAGCUCAGAAGAAAAGGCUUCUAUUUUUUUGCCACCAUUCCUGACAUGUCGCUUCGCCACUGCUCUGUGCUUCUACAUUUUAGCCACAUCUGGAUGCUGUUGGAUGCUUCCUCUUUCUCGCAGGCAAACACAGCACAGCAGGCAGGUUUCUGCCAAGCUCGCCACUUCCCUUCAUCGUGUUUGGAGCAACAGUGAUCCUUGUAAGGUGCAAAGUGAGAAACGCUUCACAUUUUACAGAGUAACGCUCGAUUCUGGAAUCAACUUUGAAUUAAUUAACUUAUUCCACUUUUGAGCAUCUGCCGUUCUCUGUUCUUGAACCUGGGACUUCUUGUUGGUUCUCAUAAGUAGGCACUGAUUCGUACUUGCUUUGAUGCUUUCACUGGCAACCCCCUGUAUAAGGCACGAUCCCUGUUCUCAGAGUUUAUGAUCCAUUGCAGUAUGGGGAGAUUAGGAGUAGACAGUUCCGAGAGACAAGUGUGAGCUGAGCGUUACAGGCAGCGGAUGCUGCAGGCGUGAGAAGAGAUUGCUCUGGGCUGGACCGGGCUGCCUGCUGAGAUGCAUGAACUCUUGAGCUGAUCCUUUGCAGCGGGAGAGGAGAGGCCGGGCCAGGCGUGGGGGCAGGAUGGUGCCGACCGCAUGGUUUGUGCACAGUAGUUUCACAGAAGAUUCUUAUUAUGCAAUCAGUUCAUAAGCUCAUCUCUGCUGUGGACAUUCUUCCUAGCCUAACACAGGGGAGAAAAGUGGGUGUCAUGUACUGGAUACGUGAACUUGGUUGGAUGAUACGUCCAUGUAAAGUCCAAUUUCUUCAACAGUUACAGCCAACAUCAUGGGUUAGUGGCUCGUUUCAGAUGGAACACGUUACUGGGAGAGAGCAGCGCCUAGGUAUCUGUGAGCUGCCACCUCUCCCUCUGCUGCACGUAAAUAUACACAUGCGACGGGUGGGUUGGGGCAUACUUAGCUCUACAGUGUAUUCAUUUUAUGUAGGAACUUAUUCACUAAUCAAUUCUCCUACUUAUGUGAAUAAAUCCAAAUGUAGUAAAUCUGUA